Molecule: ribosomal RNA, 595 nt
Filed under: Pseudocercospora sp. FG1.1
Lineage: Eukaryota; Fungi; Ascomycota; Dothideomycetes; Mycosphaerellales; Mycosphaerellaceae
Description: eukaryotic LSU rRNA
Rfam family: Eukaryotic large subunit ribosomal RNA
Source: RNAcentral
UAUCAAUAAGCGGAGGAAAAGAAACCAACAGGGAUUGCCUCAGUAACGGCGAGUGAAGCGGCAACAGCUCAAAUUUGAAAUCUGGCGUCCGCCCGAGUUGUAAUUUGCAGAGGAUGCUUCGGGGCCGCGGCCGAUCUAAGUCCUUUGGAACAGGGCGUCAUAGAGGGUGAGAAUCCCGUAUGUGACCGGCUGGCACCCCACACGUAGCUCCUUCGACGAGUCGAGUUGUUUGGGAAUGCAGCUCUAAAUGGGAGGUAAAUUUCUUCUAAAGCUAAAUACCGGCCAGAGACCGAUAGCGCACAAGUAGAGUGAUCGAAAGAUGAAAAGCACUUUGGAAAGAGAGUCAAACAGCACGUGAAAUUGUUGAAAGGGAAGCGCAUGCAACCAGACUUGUCGGCGGUGUUCCCCCGGUCUUCUGACCGGGUCACUCGCCGCCGGCAGGCCAGCAUCGUUUGCGACCGCCGGAGAAAGGCGUAGGAAUGUGGCUCCUCGGAGUGUUAUAGCCCUGCGCACAAUACGGUGCGUCGCGAGCGAGGUCCGCGCUUCGGCUAGGAUGCUGGCGUAAUGGUCGUAUGCGGCCCGUCUUGAAACACGG